Molecule: ribosomal RNA, 537 nt
Filed under: uncultured Gammaproteobacteria bacterium
Lineage: Bacteria; Pseudomonadati; Pseudomonadota; Gammaproteobacteria
Description: bacterial SSU rRNA
Rfam family: Bacterial small subunit ribosomal RNA
Source: RNAcentral
CUCUUGAGAGCGGCGGACGGGUGAGUAAUACCUGGGAAUCUGCCUGAUAGUGGGGGAUAACGUUCGGAAACGGACGCUAAUACCGCAUACGUCCUACGGGAGAAAGCAGGGGAUCUUCGGACCUUGCGCUAUCAGAUGAGCCCAGGUCGGAUUAGCUUGUUGGUGAGGUAAAGGCUCACCAAGGCGACGAUCCGUAACUGGUCUGAGAGGAUGAUCAGUCACACUGGAACUGAGACACGGUCCAGACUCCUACGGGAGGCAGCAGUGGGGAAUAUUGGACAAUGGGCGCAAGCCUGAUCCAGCCAUGCCGCGUGUGUGAAGAAGGCCUUCGGGUUGUAAAGCACUUUCAGCGAGGAGGAAGGGGUGUGUGUUAAUAGCACAUAUCUUUGACGUUACUCGCAGAAGAAGCACCGGCUAACUCCGUGCCAGCAGCCGCGGUAAUACGGAGGGUGCAAGCGUUAAUCGGAAUUACUGGGCGUAAAGCGCACGCAGGCGGCUUGUUAAGUCGGAUGUGAAAGCCCCGGGCUCAACCUGGGA